This 334-nucleotide ribosomal RNA is filed under the name uncultured eukaryote. Its description in RNAcentral is "partial 18S ribosomal RNA". It matches the Rfam family "Eukaryotic small subunit ribosomal RNA", at positions 1470 to 1796 of the family's 1831-position model. The record is from RNAcentral.
CCCUUAGAUGUCCGGGGCCGCACGCUCGCUACACUGAAGGAAUCAGCGUGGCUUUCUCCCUGACCCGAAAGGGUUGGGAAACCCGUUGAAUCUCCUUCGUGAUAGGGAUUGGGGCUUGAAAUUGUUCCCCAUGAACGAGGAAUUCCCAGUAAGCGCGAGUCAUAAGCUCGCGUUGAUUACGUCCCUGCCCUUUGUACACACCGCCCGUCGCUACUACCGAUUGAACGGUUUAGUGAGGGCCUCGGAUUGGUCUCGGCCCGCUCUUUACCGGGCGGCGCCGUUGGUCGAGAAGACGCUCGAACUUGAUCGUUUAGAGGAAGUAAAAGUCGUAACA